CCGAGGCAGGUGGCUCCCGUGAUGACUUGGGGAGGCUCAGGGGGCCCCCAGCGAGCCCCCAAGGGUCUCUUUCUUCUCUCUAGUCCCAGCCUCAGGAUCUGCAGACUUAGCCCCGAAGAGUUACAUACACAAAGCCUCUUCCCAGGCAUGGGCCCAAAUUAACAAACAGAAAAAGCUGAGAAUAUAGGUUGGCAGCUACUAGAUUUGAGUGGCACGAAAGCGACGCGGUGCUGCUACAAGUGGAAACAUUUGUGUUGACACUGAAGUACGUCCUCUGGCUCCCGGGCGUGGGUCAGUGGCGGGGCUAGGACUGGCUGCAUGGGCUUCGCAAAGGAGGAGCGGUCCUGGAGGAGCUGCUCGGUGAGAGCUCGGGCCAACCCCCUCCGGCCCAGCCACCACUGAUUUCAGGGUCAUCACCUGGCACGCCCUACUCCACCUCUGCAUCUCAAGGUCACAGCUACUGACCCGUGUUCACACUUUGGCACUCUUUGGGAUUUAACAUUUAUGUAGCAUUAGACUUGAUGCGUGUUUGCGUUUCUUCACUGUUGCUGCUCAGUCAGAACCAGUCCACCUUUUUUGAGCAGGAUCUGGAGGUUAUGCUGACAAUGAUGUUGGCGCCAUUUCAACAACGGGGCAUGGGGAGAGCAUCCUGAAGGUGAAUCUGGCCAGACUGACUCUCUUCCACGUAGAACAAGGAAAGACAUUGGAAGAGGCAGCCAACAUGUCGUUGGGUUAUAUGAAGUCAAAGCUGAAGGGUUUAGGCGGCGUCAUCUUGGUCAGCAAAGCAGGAGACUGGGCAGUGAAGUGGACCUCCACCUCCAUGCCCUGGGCAGCCGCCAAGGAUGGCAAGCUGCACUCUGGAAUCGAUCUCGACGAGACCAAUAUCAUUGACCUGCCCUAGGACCCUGAAGAUUGUGUUCUAGAUGCUAGCUUGGAGGGAAAGUCCAGUUUCCUGGUGUGGAGACCUGGCUUAAUCAAUUAGAUCUAGAAAUGGAAAAUUCUGCAGUCUGUCACUCGUUUUGUCGCCUUGAUCAAUGAGUAUCUGAGUGUUUGGUUGAGGGGAGGAUCUGAAGUGCCGAGAGAAACGCUCCUGUUAAGGUCAAAAUAAGACCAGUGCAGAUGACCAGGUCCUGAGUCUUUCUUAUGAGUCGUCCCCAGUGUCUUAGAUUAGAAAGAAGAAAUGACGAUCUGAACAGGACAACAGCCACUUCGGUGCAGGGAGUGCCAUCUGGGAUCAGGAGACCUGCAGCAGAGACAGAAGGGGCAGGCUCGAAAGGUGGGGGGACCCAGACCAACACCUCCCGGGGCUCUCUGUUGUGGAGUUCACGUUAAGUCCGAAGAAUGUCAGGGAAAAGAACCCAUGAGAGGAGAAGCUGAUUUUUCUAAGAAGGUUCAGAUCUCCUCUGACUUACUGAUGUGGACAUGUUUCCAGAUACUUUAGAAGUAGCCUCUGAUAACCCAUAGUCCCCAGUCUGGAGGUGAAGGGUCUAAUGGAGACUGCAGAGCUCCCACGUGAGUCUGCUGGCGUAGCAUUUUCCCACCAGCUUCCGCCUACUGCAGGCCCUCCUGGUGCUCAUGCCGAGUAAGGGGGCUCAUGAUCUCUCCACCCCUACUCUAACUAGCGCGCCGAUCCCGUGCGGAUGCACUGUGAUCUACUGCACCCUCCCGAUGUCCAGGGCUGUGGGCCCCCACGACUGCAGGGGGCAUGUGUACAGCAUGGUCAGCAUCAUGAAAAAAAGUCAUUUCCUUGGUGGAAACUCUUCCUAUUCAUCUCGCUUUACACUGGAAAUGGUAUUUCUGCUGUGACAAUUUUUUAGUCUGUCAGGUCUUACCUUCUCACUGGAAAGAAAUUGCUUAGCUUUAAACUCCAUGUGCCACUAAUAAAAUUUAUUUUGAAAGAAUAACAGUGUGGUUAGGAGUCACUGUUGACCAAGACCAGAAUGUCCACAAGCUCCCAUUGUUUCUGUCAGUUCAGACAGGCGUACUAACUCAAGAGGACUUUCAAGAGGAGGGUGGUACGGGGAUGUGUCGGUUACGUCCUGCCUCGUGGAGUAUAUUGGAGAGUUUUUCAGAGGAAUGGAGCUUUUUCUCAAUGGAUAAAGGGAGAAACCAGACCACUCUUUGCAAGGAUCAGCAGGGCAAAUGAGCAACAUUCUUGCGGUUUGCCAGCCACCUCCUUCCAGAUCCCUGCCCAUGACCUUCCGGGGCCGGCCAGCUGCUCCGAGCCACGGAGGGGGAGGUGGCACUCGGAGGCACAACUGAGUCUGAAUCCUGACUGUCCCCACUACCUGGGUGACCCAAGUUAACUUCUAGGAAUGUUUUCAUCUAUAAAAUGGAUUACCAUGAAGAUUAAAUGCAAUUAAAGGAAAACUGCUCUGUGUUUA
Non-coding RNA from Leptonychotes weddellii (Weddell seal), 2384 nucleotides. The record is from RefSeq and is a predicted model, not a curated record. NCBI's taxonomy places the organism in Eukaryota, Metazoa, Chordata, Mammalia, Carnivora, Phocidae.